Molecule: unclassified non-coding RNA, 608 nt
Filed under: Aspergillus terreus
Lineage: Eukaryota; Fungi; Ascomycota; Eurotiomycetes; Eurotiales; Aspergillaceae
Description: sequence contains 18S rRNA gene, ITS1, 5.8S rRNA gene, ITS2, 28S rRNA gene
Rfam family: 5.8S ribosomal RNA (bases 231-384)
Source: RNAcentral
UCGUAACAAGGUUUCCGUAGGUGAACCUGCGGAAGGAUCAUUACCGAGUGCGGGUCUUUAUGGCCCAACCUCCCACCCGUGACUAUUGUACCUUGUUGCUUCGGCGGGCCCGCCAGCGUUGCUGGCCGCCGGGGGGCGACUCGCCCCCGGGCCCGUGCCCGCCGGAGACCCCAACAUGAACCCUGUUCUGAAAGCUUGCAGUCUGAGUGUGAUUCUUUGCAAUCAGUUAAAACUUUCAACAAUGGAUCUCUUGGUUCCGGCAUCGAUGAAGAACGCAGCGAAAUGCGAUAACUAAUGUGAAUUGCAGAAUUCAGUGAAUCAUCGAGUCUUUGAACGCACAUUGCGCCCCCUGGUAUUCCGGGGGGCAUGCCUGUCCGAGCGUCAUUGCUGCCCUCAAGCCCGGCUUGUGUGUUGGGCCCUCGUCCCCCGGCUCCCGGGGGACGGGCCCGAAAGGCAGCGGCGGCACCGCGUCCGGUCCUCGAGCGUAUGGGGCUUCGUCUUCCGCUCCGUAGGCCCGGCCGGCGCCCGCCGACGCAUUUAUUUGCAACUUGUUUUUUUCCAGGUUGACCUCGGAUCAGGUAGGGAUACCCGCUGAACUUAAGCAUAUC